UGAGGAAUAUUGGUCAAUGGACGCAAGUCUGAACCAGCCAAGUAGCGUGCAGGAUGACGGCCCUCCGGGUUGUAAACUGCUUUUAGUUGGGAAUAAAGUGCAGCUCGUGAGCUGUUUUGUAUGUACCAUCAGAAAAAGGACCGGCUAAUUCCGUGCCAGCAGCCGCGGUAAUACGGAAGGUCCAGGCGUUAUCCGGAUUUAUUGGGUUUAAAGGGAGCGCAGGCGGACUCUUAAGUCAGUUGUGAAAUACGGCGGCUCAACCGUCGAACUGCAGUUGAUACUGGGAGUCUUGAGUGCACACAGGGAUGCUGGAAUUCAUGGUGUAGCGGUGAAAUGCUCAGAUAUCAUGAAGAACUCCGAUCGCGAAGGCAGGUAUCCGGGGUGCAACUGACGCUGAGGCUCGAAAGUGCGGGUAUCAAACAGG
Molecule: ribosomal RNA, 424 nt
Filed under: uncultured bacterium
Lineage: Bacteria
Description: bacterial SSU rRNA
Rfam family: Bacterial small subunit ribosomal RNA
Source: RNAcentral